This 466-nucleotide ribosomal RNA is filed under the name uncultured Chloroflexota bacterium. RNAcentral describes it as "bacterial SSU rRNA". It matches the Rfam family "Bacterial small subunit ribosomal RNA", at positions 156 to 638 of the family's 1533-position model. Lineage: Bacteria; Bacillati; Chloroflexota. The record is from RNAcentral.
AUGGCGGCUAAUACCGCGUACGGUCCCGAGGCGGAGGGCUUUGGGAAGAAAGCAGUGAUGCGCGCUGGGAGGGGUCUGCGCCCGAUUAGCUCGUUGGCGGGGUAACGGCCCACCAAGGCGGUGAUCGGUAGCUGGUCUGAGAGGAUGAUCAGCCACACGGGGACUGAGACACGGCCCCGACUCCUACGGGAGGCAGCAGCAAGGAAUUUUCCGCAAUGGGGGCAACCCUGACGGAGCAACGCCGCGUGACGGAUGACGCCUCUUGGGGUGUAAACGUCUUUUGCCGAGGGAGAGAAUGGACGGUACUCGGCGAAUCAGGACCGGCUAACUACGUGCCAGCAGCCGCGGUAAUACGUAGGGUCCGAGCGUUGUCCGGAGUUACUGGGCGUAAAGCGCGCGCAGGCGGUCCGCGAGGUGUCACGUGAAAGCCCCGGGCUCAACUCGGGAGGGUCGUGGCAAACCGGUG